AACGAACGCUGGCGGCAUGCCUAACACAUGCAAGUCGAACGAGACCUUCGGGUCUAGUGGCGCACGGGUGCGUAACGCGUGGGAACCUGCCUUUAGGUUCGGAAUAACUCAGAGAAAUUUGAGCUAAUACCGGAUAAUGUCGUAAGACCAAAGAUUUAUCGCCCAAGGAUGAGCCCGCGUAAGAUUAGCUAGUUGGUGGGGUAAAAGCCUACCAAGGCGACGAUCGUUAGCUGGUCUGAGAGGACGAUCAGCCACACUGGGACUGAGACACGGCCCAGACUCCUACGGGAGGCAGCAGUGGGGGAAUAUUGGACAAUGGGGGCAACCCUGAUCCAGCCAUGCCGCGUGAGUGAUGAAGGCCUUCGGGUUGUAAAGCUCUUUUGGUCGGGGGACGGAUGAUGACGGUACCCGGCAGAAUAAGCCCCGGCUAACUUCGUGCCAGCAGCCGCGGUAAU
This 455-nucleotide ribosomal RNA is filed under the name uncultured bacterium. RNAcentral describes it as "bacterial SSU rRNA". It matches the Rfam family "Bacterial small subunit ribosomal RNA", at positions 29 to 524 of the family's 1533-position model. The record is from RNAcentral.